UACGUAGGGUCCGAGCGUUGUCCGGAAUUAUUGGGCGUAAAGAGCUCGUAGGCGGUUUGUCGCGUCUGCUGUGAAAUCCCGAGGCUCAACCUCGGGCCUGCAGUGGGUACGGGCAGACUGGAGUGCGGUAGGGGAGAAUGGAAUUCCUGGUGUAGCGGUGGAAUGUGCAGAUAUCAGGAGGAACACCGAUGGCGAAGGCAGUUCUCUGGGCCGUAACUGACGCUGAGGAGCGAAAGCGUGGGGAGCGAACAGG
This 253-nucleotide ribosomal RNA is filed under the name uncultured bacterium. Its description in RNAcentral is "partial 16S ribosomal RNA". It matches the Rfam family "Bacterial small subunit ribosomal RNA", at positions 524 to 776 of the family's 1533-position model. The record is from RNAcentral.